This 303-nucleotide unclassified non-coding RNA is filed under the name plant metagenome. RNAcentral describes it as "partial contains 5.8S ribosomal RNA, internal transcribed spacer 2, and large subunit ribosomal RNA". The stretch from base 1 to 105 matches the Rfam family "5.8S ribosomal RNA", at positions 50 to 154 of the family's 154-position model. The record is from RNAcentral.
GAAAUGCGAAAAGUAAUGUGAAUUGCAGAAUUCAGUGAAUCAUCGAAUCUUUGAACGCACAUUGCGCCCGCCAGUAUUCUGGCGGGCAUGCCUGUUCGAGCGUCAUUUCAACCAUCAAGCCCCGCGCUUGUGUUGGGGACCUGCGGCUGCCGCAGGCCCUGAAAACCAGUGGCGGGCUCGCUGUCACACCGGGCGUAGUAGAUUUUAUCUCGCUCAGGGCGUGCUGCGGGUUCCGGCCGUUAAAAAGCCUUUUUUACCCAAGGUUGACCUCGGAUCAGGUAGGAAGACCCGCUGAACUUAAGC